This 463-nucleotide ribosomal RNA is filed under the name uncultured bacterium. RNAcentral describes it as "bacterial SSU rRNA". It matches the Rfam family "Bacterial small subunit ribosomal RNA", at positions 30 to 532 of the family's 1533-position model. The record is from RNAcentral.
AUUGAACGCUGGCGGCAUGCCUUACACAUGCAAGUCGAACGAGACCUUCGGGUCUAGUGGCGCACGGGUGCGUAACACGUGGGAAUUUGCCUCGGGGUAUGGAAUAACUCAGGGAAACUUGAGCUAAUACCAUAUAAUGUCUUCGGACCAAAGAUUUAUCGCCCUGAGAUAAGCCCGCGUAGGAUUAGCUAGUUGGUGGGGUAAAGGCUCACCAAGGGCGACGAUCCUUAGCUGGUCUGAGAGGAUGAUCAGCCACACUGGGACUGAGACACGGCCCAGACUCCUACGGGAGGCAGCAGUGGGGAAUCUUAGACAAUGGGGGGAAACCCUGAUCUAGCCAUGCCGCGUGAUCGAUGAAGGCCUUAGGGUUGUAAAGAUCUUUCAGUGGGGAAGAUAAUGACGGUACCCACAGAAGAAGCCCCGGCCUAACUCCGUGCCAGCAGCCGCGGUAAAGUGACUACUG